Molecule: ribosomal RNA, 425 nt
Filed under: uncultured bacterium
Lineage: Bacteria
Description: partial 16S ribosomal RNA
Rfam family: Bacterial small subunit ribosomal RNA
Source: RNAcentral
GUGGGGAAUCUUGCGCAAUGGGCGAAAGCCUGACGCAGCCAUGCCGCGUGAAUGAUGAAGGUCUUAGGAUUGUAAAAUUCUUUCACCGGGGACGAUAAUGACGGUACCCGGAGAAGAAGCUCCGGCUAACUUCGUGCCAGCAGCCGCGGUAAUACGAAGGGGGCUAGCGUUGCUCGGAAUUACUGGACGUAAAGGGCGCGUAGGCGGACAGCUUAGUCAGAGGUGAAAGCCCAGGGCUCAACCUUGGAAUUGCCUUUGAUACUGGCUGUCUUGAGUUUGGGAGAGGUGAGUGGAACUCCGAGUGUAGAGGUGAAAUUCGUAGAUAUUCGGAAGAACACCAGUGGCGAAGGCGACUCACUGGCCCAAUACUGACGCUGAGGCGCGAAAGCGUGGGGAGCAAACAGGAUUAGAUACCCUAGUAGUCC